CGAGGGGUAACAUGACGCUUCGGUGUUGAUGACGACCGGCGCACGGGUGCGUAACGCGUAUGCAAUCUACCUACAGCAGAGGGAUAGCCCGUGGAAACAUGGAUUAAUACCUCAUAAUACAGGGGGCCCACCUGGGCAUAUUGUUAAAGAUUUAUCGGCUGUAGAUGAGCAUGCGUCCCAUUAGCUAGUUGGUACGGUAACGGCGUACCAAGGCGAUGAUGGGUAGGGGUUCUGAGAGGAUGAUCCCCCACACUGGUACUGAGAUACGGACCAGACUCCUACGGGAGGCAGCAGUAGGGAAUAUUGGUCAAUGGACGGAAGUCUGAACCAGCCAUGCCGCGUGCAGGAAGACGGCCUUCUGGGUUGUAAACUGCUUUUCUCAGGGAAGAAAAGGGCCUUGCGAGGCAAAUUGCCGGUACCUGAGGAAUAAGCACCGGCUAACUCCGUGCCAGCAGCCGCGGUAAUACGGAGGGUGCGAGCGUUGUCCGGAUUUAUUGGGUUUAAAGGGUGCGUAGGCGGCCUAUUAAGUCAGUGGUGAAAGGUAUCAGCUUAACUGAUGACGUGCCAUUGAAACUGAUAGGCUUGAGUACAGACGAGGUAGGCGGAAUUUAUGGUGUAGCGGUGAAAUGCAUAGAUACCAUAAAGAACACCGAUAGCGAAGGCAGCUUACUAGACCGAGACUGACGCUGAGGCACGAAAGCGUGGGGAGCGAACAGGAUUAGAUACCCUGGUAGUCCACGCUGUAAACGAUGAUUACUGGAUGUGUGCGAUACACUGUACGCGUCUGAGCGAAAGCGUUAAGUAAUCCACCUGGGGAGUACGAUCGCAAGAUU
RNAcentral lists this ribosomal RNA (833 nucleotides) under uncultured bacterium. Its description in RNAcentral is "bacterial SSU rRNA". It matches the Rfam family "Bacterial small subunit ribosomal RNA", at positions 63 to 895 of the family's 1533-position model. The record is from RNAcentral.